AUAGGUCAAGUUAUUAAGAGCAUAGGGCGAAUGCCUUGGCACCAAGAGCCGAUGAAGGACGGGAUAAGCACCGAUAUGCUUCGGGGAGUCGCAAAUAGACAUUGAUCCGGAGAUUUCCGAAUGGGGAAACCUACUUGAGCAACCCUCAAGUAUCGCAUACUGAAUUCAUAGGUAUGCGAAGGAAGACCAGGGGAACUGAAACAUCUAAGUACCCUGAGGAAGAGAAAGAAAGUUCGAUUUCCUAAGUAGCGGCGAGCGAAAGGGAAAGAGCCCAAACCGGAUUUAUCCGGGGUUGAGGACACAGUAAAGGAUUGGCAAAUUCAUAGUCGAAGAUAGCUGGGAAGCUAUGCAACAUAAGGUGAUAGCCCUGUAGACGAAAUGAAUGAGCCACAGGCUGUGCUCCAGAGUACCACGAGACACGUGAAAUCUUGUGGGAAGCAGGGAGGACCACCUCCCAAGGCUAAAUACUACUUGGUGACCGAUAG
This 485-nucleotide ribosomal RNA is filed under the name Soehngenia saccharolytica. Its description in RNAcentral is "partial 23S ribosomal RNA". It matches the Rfam family "Bacterial large subunit ribosomal RNA", at positions 1 to 490 of the family's 2925-position model. Lineage: Bacteria; Bacillati; Bacillota; Tissierellia; Tissierellales; Tissierellaceae. The record is from RNAcentral.